GUUCUUUGGCUCUUGUGUGAGUGGAUGGUGACACCAGGCCAGCUGGGGAUUCUUCCCAGGCUGGGCUCACAGGCUGGGGCUGGGCACACGGAGCAGCUGCGGGAAAAGGAUCUGGACACCAGCCCCCCAGCGUGUCACCGGCAGGAAGGUGAGGUGGGAACAGAGUGACGUCCAUGCAUGUUCAGAGACAAGGUUUCCCUACGUUGCCCAGACUGGUCUUGAACUCCUAGCCUCAAGCAGUCCUUCUGCCUCAGCCUCCCAAUGUGCUGGGAUUACAGGCAUGAGCCACUGCACUUGACCAAGGGACUAAGCCAGUGGAUCACAAACAUCCUGGAGAGCAGUGACUCUGUGAUUCCAUCACAAGAAUAUGAAGGACUGAGAAGAUCUCCAGCUCUGCCCAUUGCACCUUCCCAUUGAGAAGCAGCAUGGCACCCUGGUGGCAGGGGCUGAUACUCAGCCGGGCCAGGGUGCUCUCCUGUUAACCAUAACCAAGCUCACAGGACAUGGGAUGAGCCCACUGUGUGACACAGGGAGCGGGACACAGUCUGUUAAGUCUUGCACAGCCAUGCUCUGCCACGCAGGCAGGCCUUUCCUUGGCCUCCCUCUCCCUGUUCGUGCUCAUGUGAACAUCCACCUACGUGGAUAGACUGGGCUUUGGUUCAUUAUUGCUCUGUGAAUUCCUCGAACUUCCGCAUCUGCCCAACCUCCCCCACCCCAUUGUUUUCAUUGUGUUUCACCAAAUGGAAAUUCUAGAGUAAGCAUAUAGAAUCUUCAACUCGGAGGCACCAGUCUCUCUCACUUGAGGAAAGAAUGCGAAGGAAGGAAUGGCCUGACUUCCUCAUGUGUGCCCUGUUUCUCGGUAGGCACCAUGUGGGGGCUGCCACACAUGUGCCGAAGCUUUGGGAACGUUCCGUUUAAAUACCAAUUUCGAUGCCAAUGCCUAACAUGGAGCACAAAUAUCCAGGUACCUCUCUGAUUUCUUCUCUUAUGCUUCAAACUCUUUGAGAACAGAAAUUUUUCUCAUUUGUGUUUGUAUCAUCUGUAGUAUUUAGCAAUGCCUUGCCUAUAGUAGGUAGGUGCUUAAUGACUAUUGUAUUCCAUUAGGGCCUAUUCAGUGAUGGUUUAAGUUUAGAAAAGAGUUUCCCUUGCAUUCAGUUUGCCAGUUUUUGAUCAGCAUCAUUAAAGGAGAACUAGCUUUACCUCUUUAAUAAUUUGUUUAAUUCUAAAUCAGUAAAAUUUUUGUGGUAUGCUGACGACAUGGCCUAAGCUAUUGCAGGAGGUUGAGAUAUUCAAGGUGAUAGAAAAAUAUCUAAGACCAAAUUCCUGUCCUGAAGAAGCUCACAUAGUUGUGGGAGCCAUAGAUAAGAAAGAAGCAUUUACGAAGCACAUCAAAAGUGUCUCAGAAGAGCUGUAUACUUGGCCAUGGGGGCAGCAGGUAAGAAGAGGAGGGAAGGGAAGAGGAGGGGAGGGAAGAGUAAGAGAGGGGAGGGAAAAGGAGGGAAGGGGAGCAGAGGAGAAGACUCCCGUAAAUCACAAUAUCCAAAUUUGGCAACUAUUUUGUUCUGAUUUUAUUGGUUCUUCACCCAAAACAUAUUGCCUAAGACACCCCUUGAUUCAACCUUCCUCCCUCUUAAUUUCCAGAAAUAUGAAGUUGUCAGUAAGGUCAGCCAAAAAUCACGUUUGACAUGUGGUGGAAAUUCUGGGUGUCCUUUGUAGAUGAAACUCAUAUAAGCAAAAAUUCUAGUGGCAUUUUGGUGGGAGAAGGAAGAAAGGGAAGAGUGAGGUUAAGGAAAUAUUUCCAAACGUAUUAAUUGAACGUGUACAGGUAUAACAACACCUCCAACACUGUCCUCUUCUAGUCUGACUCCUGGGGGGAAAGGGGGAGUGAGACUAGAAAGGGUUGUCAGGGUGGAACACAGGGCUGGAAGUUGGAAGGCAUCCCUGGGUGCUCACCUUUCAGCUCCCGCUCAAGCAUCCCCUCAGCCUGCACACCUCCAGGACUUGCUGCUUUCUGUGCUGUUCUCAACACCAGGGUCCUUUCCUCCAGAAGUGGGACCUCUUAAGUGUGAGAAAAGAACUUGUUCUUUUAAGAUGGUACCUGAAUGACUUUUGAAAUUUAAUUAGAACCUGUAGUUUUUCAAAGCCUCCUGUUAUAGACCGAAUGGUACCCUCCUACAUUCAUAUACCGAAGCCCUGACCCUGGCGUGGCUGCAUUUGGAGAUAGGGUCUCUAAGGAGGUGAUUGAGGUUAAAUGAAACCAUAAGAAUGGAGCUCCAAUCCAGUAGUGCUGGUGUCCUUGCAAAGAAGAGGAAGAGGCAUCAGAGAUGCACAAGCAUGGAGAAAAGGCCAUGUGAGGACACAGCAAGAAGGUGGCUGUCUGCAAACCUGGAAGAGUGUCCUCACUAGAAGCCAUCCAUGCUAGCACCUUGAACUCCAGAACCAUGAGAAAAUAAAUUUCUGUUUUUAAGCCACCCAA
RNAcentral lists this long non-coding RNA (2476 nucleotides) under Homo sapiens (human). Its description in RNAcentral is "long independently transcribed non-coding RNA 3082, transcript variant 3 (LINC03082)". Lineage: Eukaryota; Metazoa; Chordata; Mammalia; Primates; Hominidae. The record is from RNAcentral.